Molecule: ribosomal RNA, 392 nt
Filed under: uncultured bacterium
Lineage: Bacteria
Description: partial 16S ribosomal RNA
Rfam family: Bacterial small subunit ribosomal RNA
Source: RNAcentral
AUACGUAGGGGGCGAGCGUUAUCCGGAAUUAUUGGGCGUAAAGAGUACGUAGGUGGUUGCGUAAGCGCAAGGUGAAAGACCGGGGCUUAACUUCGGUGAGCCUUGUGAACUGCGUGACUUGAGUGCAGGAGGGGAAAGUGGAAUUCCUAGUGUAGCGGUGAAAUGCGUAGAUAUAAGGAGGAACACCAGUGGCGAAGGCGACGUUCUGGACUGUAACUGACACGGAGGUACGAAAGCGUGGGGAGCAAACAGGAUUAGAUACCCUGGUAGUCCACGCCGUAAACGAUGAGCACUAGGUGUUGGCGUAGAAAUACGUCGGUGCCGAAGUUAACGCAUUAAGUGCUCCGCCUGGGGAGUACGCACGCAAGUGUGAAACUCAAAUGAAUUGGCGG